Molecule: ribosomal RNA, 1419 nt
Filed under: Pediococcus pentosaceus
Lineage: Bacteria; Bacillati; Bacillota; Bacilli; Lactobacillales; Lactobacillaceae
Description: bacterial SSU rRNA
Rfam family: Bacterial small subunit ribosomal RNA
Source: RNAcentral
ACUUCCGUUAAUUGAUUAUGACGUACUUGUACUGAUUGAGAUUUUAACACGAAGUGAGUGGCGAACGGGUGAGUAACACGUGGGUAACCUGCCCAGAAGUAGGGGAUAACACCUGGAAACAGAUGCUAAUACCGUAUAACAGAGAAAACCGCAUGGUUUUCUUUUAAAAGAUGGCUCUGCUAUCACUUCUGGAUGGACCCGCGGCGUAUUAGCUAGUUGGUGAGGUAAAGGCUCACCAAGGCAGUGAUACGUAGCCGACCUGAGAGGGUAAUCGGCCACAUUGGGACUGAGACACGGCCCAGACUCCUACGGGAGGCAGCAGUAGGGAAUCUUCCACAAUGGACGCAAGUCUGAUGGAGCAACGCCGCGUGAGUGAAGAAGGGUUUCGGCUCGUAAAGCUCUGUUGUUAAAGAAGAACGUGGGUAAGAGUAACUGUUUACCCAGUGACGGUAUUUAACCAGAAAGCCACGGCUAACUACGUGCCAGCAGCCGCGGUAAUACGUAGGUGGCAAGCGUUAUCCGGAUUUAUUGGGCGUAAAGCGAGCGCAGGCGGUCUUUUAAGUCUAAUGUGAAAGCCUUCGGCUCAACCGAAGAAGUGCAUUGGAAACUGGGAGACUUGAGUGCAGAAGAGGACAGUGGAACUCCAUGUGUAGCGGUGAAAUGCGUAGAUAUAUGGAAGAACACCAGUGGCGAAGGCGGCUGUCUGGUCUGCAACUGACGCUGAGGCUCGAAAGCAUGGGUAGCGAACAGGAUUAGAUACCCUGGUAGUCCAUGCCGUAAACGAUGAUUACUAAGUGUUGGAGGGUUUCCGCCCUUCAGUGCUGCAGCUAACGCAUUAAGUAAUCCGCCUGGGGAGUACGACCGCAAGGUUGAAACUCAAAAGAAUUGACGGGGGCCCGCACAAGCGGUGGAGCAUGUGGUUUAAUUCGAAGCUACGCGAAGAACCUUACCAGGUCUUGACAUCUUCUGACAGUCUAAGAGAUUAGAGGUUCCCUUCGGGGACAGAAUGACAGGUGGUGCAUGGUUGUCGUCAGCUCGUGUCGUGAGAUGUUGGGUUAAGUCCCGCAACGAGCGCAACCCUUAUUACUAGUUGCCAGCAUUAAGUUGGGCACUCUAGUGAGACUGCCGGUGACAAACCGGAGGAAGGUGGGGACGACGUCAAAUCAUCAUGCCCCUUAUGACCUGGGCUACACACGUGCUACAAUGGAUGGUACAACGAGUCGCGAGACCGCGAGGUUAAGCUAAUCUCUUAAAACCAUUCUCAGUUCGGACUGUAGGCUGCAACUCGCCUACACGAAGUCGGAAUCGCUAGUAAUCGCGGAUCAGCAUGCCGCGGUGAAUACGUUCCCGGGCCUUGUACACACCGCCCGUCACACCAUGAGAGUUUGUAACACCCAAAGCCGGUGGGGUAACCUUUUA